This 468-nucleotide ribosomal RNA is filed under the name uncultured bacterium. RNAcentral describes it as "partial 16S ribosomal RNA". It matches the Rfam family "Bacterial small subunit ribosomal RNA", at positions 28 to 507 of the family's 1533-position model. The record is from RNAcentral.
GACGAACGCUGGCGGCGUGCUUAACACAUGCAAGUCGAACGGAAAGGCCCUGCUCUUGCGGGGUGCUCGAGUGGCGAACGGGGGUGUAACACGUGAGUAUACCGCCCCUGUCUGUGGGAGAACUUCUGGGAACAGGGGCUAAUACCGGAUAGGAGCUCCUGCUCCACGGUGGGCGUUGGAAAGUUUCGGCGGUAGGGGCUCGACUCGCGGCUUAUCAGCUGGUUGGUGGGGUAGUGGCUUACCAAGGUUUCGACGGGUAGCCGGCCUGAGAGGGUGACCGGCCACCUUGGUCCUACGAGACGGACCAGUCUCCUACGGGAGGCAGCAGUGGGGAGUAUUGCACAACGGGCGGAAGCCUGUUGCGGCAACGCCGCGUGCGGGAUGCCGGCCUUCGGGUUAUAAACCUAUUUCGCCUGUGACGAAGCGUGAUUGACGGUAAUGGGUAAAGAAGCACCGGCUAACUACGUG